This 491-nucleotide ribosomal RNA is filed under the name uncultured bacterium. RNAcentral's name for it is "partial 16S ribosomal RNA". It matches the Rfam family "Bacterial small subunit ribosomal RNA", at positions 29 to 506 of the family's 1533-position model. The record is from RNAcentral.
AGUGAACGCUGGCGGUAGGCCUAACACAUGCAAGUCGAACGGCAGCACAGUAAGAGCUUGCUCUUACGGGUGGCGAGUGGCGGACGGGUGAGGAAUACAUCGGAAUCUACUUUUUCGUGGGGGAUAACGUAGGGAAACUUACGCUAAUACCGCAUACGACCUACGGGUGAAAGCAGGGGAUCUUCGGACCUUGCGCGAUUGAAUGAGCCGAUGUCGGAUUAGCUAGUUGGCGGGGUAAAGGCCCACCAAGGCGACGAUCCGUAGCUGGUCUGAGAGGAUGAUCCGCCACACUGAAACUGAGACACGGCCCAGACCCCUACGGGAGGCAGCAGGGGGAAAUAUGGGAAAAGGGGCGAAAGCCUGAUCCAGCCAUCCCGCGUGGGUGAAGAGGGCCUUCGGGUUGUAAAGCCCUUUUGUGGGGAAAGAAAAGCAGCAGGUUAAAACCCCGCUGUUCUGACGGUACCAAAAGAAUAAGCACCGGCUAAUUUCGU